UGGAAAAAUACAUCAUUUGAUUAAUUUGAUGAUAGAUUCAUCAAGUAAAUACAUCAUUGAUAUUCCAACUUGUAUCCAACACAUCAUUGAUAUUGAUAAAGUGCUAUAAGCAAGAUUUUUUAAAAAAACAAAACUACAGUUGUUAAAACAGACUCCGAGCUCUCAAUUCAAUCCAUUUUGUGAGAAUGUGAUGCAUUUCGUCUUGCCUCUCAAUUAUUUCCCU
RNAcentral lists this long non-coding RNA (223 nucleotides) under Trifolium pratense (red clover). Its description in RNAcentral is "long non-coding RNA (TPRA_LNC009886)". Lineage: Eukaryota; Viridiplantae; Streptophyta; Magnoliopsida; Fabales; Fabaceae. The record is from RNAcentral.